This 320-nucleotide unclassified non-coding RNA is filed under the name plant metagenome. RNAcentral describes it as "partial contains 5.8S ribosomal RNA, internal transcribed spacer 2, and large subunit ribosomal RNA". The stretch from base 1 to 105 matches the Rfam family "5.8S ribosomal RNA", at positions 50 to 154 of the family's 154-position model. The record is from RNAcentral.
GAAAUGCGAUAAGUAAUGUGAAUUGCAGAAUUCAGUGAAUCAUCGAAUCUUUGAACGCACAUUGCGCCCGCCAGUAUUCUGGCGGGCAUGCCUGUUCGAGCGUCAUUACAACCAUCAGGCCCCCGGGCCUGGCGUUGGGGAUCGGCGGAAGCCCCCUGCGGGCACAACGCCGUCCCCCAAAUACAGUGGCGGUCCCGCCGCAGCUUCCAUUGCGUAGUAGCUAACACCUCGCAACUGGAGAGCGGCGCGGCCACGCCGUAAAACACCCAACUUCUGAAUGUUGACCUCGAAUCAGGUAGGAAUACCCGCUGAACUUAAGU